UGCGUGUGUGUGUGUGUGUGUGUGUGCGUGUGUGUGUGUGUGUGUGUGUAGGCGUGGAGGGGGAACAUUUACAAAUGCAACAACCCGUGUGUAAUGUGACCUGCCUGCCCGAGUUGUUCACUUCUCUGAGUGCCACAGCUUCACUGCCAGCUGCCUUCCGUUAUUGUAAAAGGAGAGAGACCACCCUAAGGAAAGGCAUCCCCUGCAGAACCAGCAUGGGCUGAAGUUUGCUUCUCACCUAUGUGUGUGGUGCACCGACCAUCCAGCCAUGCUGCAAAGGCUUUUUGCAGUGAGCGGUUAGAGAACACACACUCAUCCAGAGAGAUGCUUGGAGGAGCAGACAAAGCAGUUAGUAAGAACAGAAAGAUCUAAGAACAAGAGGUGAUCAACAAAGUAAUAGAUGUUUCUGCACAGACAGGAAUUACAGGAAUUUCUAACUGUUUGCUAUAGAGUUAUCAAGAACCAAGAGUUUUAAAAACAGGAAAAAUAUUUAUCAUAGGAAAAGGAGGAAUCAAAGACAUUUCCAAAGGCAAAUUAUGAUUCAGACUUUUUGCCAGGACAGUUUUUAUUGGUACACUUAGAUAAGCAAUAACAUAACUAUAUAUUAAAAACUAUAGCAGGUUCCUCUACAUAAAGGAAUAAUAAAAUAUCUACCUUGACCUUAACAAAGCAACCUUUUUCUAGUGAAGGCAUCCACCAGCAGCAGUCUGGAUCCAUCAUUGAUAUUGCUUGUUUGGAGGUCUCCUUUCUGUGAAAAUGCUCUCCGUGACAGUUCAUCUGCGUUGGUCUCCAUCUUUUUCUUCAUUGUCUCCCAAGGAUAUAUUCUGCUUCUGGUGAAAUGCAUGCAUACAGCUCAGACCUUGGAAGUCUUCUGGCAAAUCAUCACCUGCACUACAGUACAAAGAGUUUUCCAAGAGGGUGCCAUUUGGUUCCAGAGUCUGCAGCCCUGUCCUGGGACACACAGCACCACUUUGAUACAAGCUUCUUCCAGAAACUUCAGUAGAAUUGCACAUCAUAUAAUUCAAAGUGAGUGAAUUUAAUAACAGGUGCCCUCAGCUUUGAAAACAGGUGCCUCAUAAAUAGCAUCCAGACAUUAGAAAACCCAAGGACUCCUGAGGACCUCACAAAGCAUAAAAGGAAGCAGCAUUAAUACAUGUUUUGGAGGAAUCUGGUGCCAAAAGAAGAGCAGAUAUUAAAAGCAAACAUCGGGGGAGUGGGGGGGAAAGAAGUGUUUUGAAUAGUUGCUAAAGGGUUAGGCAUUGGGGAGCUGUAAAACUUCCUCAGCCAUUCUUGUUGCUACUGUUUUCCUACAUUGUCACUAAUACCCAAGCUACUGUAGUAAUUUAAUUUUACUUUAUUGCACUGCUUUUCCAGCCCUUCUAAUGAGAUAAACAUUUCUGACUGUGUUGAAACUUGAGGUGACAACAAUUUGCAGACCAGAACAGACUAGACACAGAGUAUGAACUACACAAAUUAUAAAUAAAAAGGAAGAGAGGAAAAAAAGAAUAUAUUUUGCAUUCCUUGGAGCCAGACCAGAGAAUAAGGACCCCAGUUCUCACUGCUGAGAGGUAUUUGAGAUAGUGGGGAGUUGGCUCAGAUCAUGACUAUCCAUAAAGUUUGGCUUCAAGACAAAACUGGCUUUCUGAUUACGUUAUGCAGGAGGAUGGCUGCCUUUGUGGUUCACGUACUUGAACUGUGCUCAGGAGGAUGACCAGUUUGAACCUCACGGGUGACCUUUUACAGGAGACGUAGAAAAUGCCUACUUUGUGCAAGGAGGGUGUGGCGUGAAAGCUAGUUUAUGUAGUAGUGCUAUGUCCAGAAGCAAUACAGCUGUGGAAGUACAGAGCUUUGCCAGGGCUGCUUUCCUUUCUAGAGGAGCUCCACACAGUACCGGCACAGCUAUCCUGCUUCCUGACACCCUGAACAACAGAGACAGACAGACCAUCUCGUUCGGAGGUAGCUUGGUUUAUGUUUUUGCACCUUACUCUGGACAGAACAGCCAUCGUCUCUCUCUGCUCAUCCUUUGCCUGUUCCUAAACAAAAUCAUUUCUUUCCCACUCCUUUAUCUGGAGAUCUGUCCCACUUCAUCUUUGUUCUGCAAUAUUACCUAAUGUCCUAGUGUUUACUACAAUACUACAUACUACAGUACUUCAACUACUAUUACUUUUUAUCUUGUUACCUUUUACUAAAUCAUAUGAUUAUCUCCUACUUCUCACUUUCAUGCACCAAACCAUCCUUGACCACUUUGUUUGCUAUAUGUUUUGUCAGCAUAACUUUUGUUGGUAAUGCCACACCCUUUUAAGAGUAUUUUGGGAAAGUAACAAUAAGCAGGUCAUUUUUUGUAAAUACAUUUUGUCACACCAGGGAAGAAGAGGUUACAUUGCAAGGACAAAUGUGCCAUGAUUUCCAGGGGCACCUAUCCGUUUAGAAGCCAUAACUGCAGGUGAAAGAGAUCUUGUGGCAUCACACUGACGUCCACAGCAGGGUAGCAGAGAAAGCCUGUAGUGAAUGGCUCUACAGUGAGAAACUUUGAUGACUUGGGCUCAUGCUGAGAAAAGUAGUUGUGCUGAAGUAAUACAAUAAAGUAGAAAACAAUAUAUCCUCCUACUCAAUUGUUCUUUCUGGGUAGUUUUUAAGUAUUCUGAACCCCAGGUCAGAAUCUGCUGUAUUUCCAACUGAGCUCCAUCGUUUUACAUCAGUCGAGAAUUUGGCCUUCUCUCUUUUGUGCAGGGAAGGGUUAUAUUAAAUUUAACACCUAAUAUCACUCUCAGUUACACAGUGAUAAAUCUGAAGUUACUCUAUGCUUUUGAGCUCAAAGUACUGAGCACAAAUCCAAUAGGUUUAUUCCACUUUUACAGUGAAAUAACAGAAAAUAAGAUGUGCUUCAGGACAUUAAGACCAGAAGUAACAUACAGUAAAAGGAAUAAUCUUGGAAAUAAAUUAUUGGGAUUGUAAAAAUACAAGAAAUAAAAAUCUCCAUAGGCAAGGAGAGAAGAGUUAAGACGCUCUGCCUGGAAUUGCAAUCUAUUUUCUUCUCCCGGUAGAAGCUGUCCUGGACCAGAUAUGCCACCUGCUGUCUCUGAUAUAUGUCUCCUGCUUCCCCAUAUGCUUCAAGUAUAUGCUUGCCUAUCACUCUGCAGUCAGCCAGCAGCUUUAAAAUGUCACACUGAUAGCUUUCUUGGUGACACUCCCCACCCUCUGUGCUCAUGACUUAAUUUGUAGGUCUCAAGUCUACUUAUAUACACAUGAAGACAGAACCAAGGAGGUGGUUUACAAUGAAUUUCUUGAGCAGUGCUACAACAGCGAACGCUGGAGUGAGCUAAUACAUAUGAUUUCAUUGGCCUGUGGCCUGUAGGGACAGAAGAGACAUCACAAUCAUGUCGUCAGAUACUCUGCCCUUUACAGACCACAGAUUUUUCAUUGGCUGAUUCACAGAUUAAUAUCUUCAAGGUCACUCAGGCCACAGAAUGAUAUUGAACUAAUAACUUCUGUUUGACUCAUAAAUCUUCCAGCAAGGUUUCUGUAAGGCUUCAGGAAAUAGAAAAAAUCAUACUUUUUCUCAGUACUUUGUUCCAAAUCUUGACAG
Phalacrocorax carbo (great cormorant) is the source of this 3586-nucleotide non-coding RNA. NCBI's taxonomy places the organism in Eukaryota, Metazoa, Chordata, Aves, Suliformes, Phalacrocoracidae. The record is from RefSeq and is a predicted model, not a curated record.